AGCGAGCAUGCCCAGGGAUAUCAAUCUCAGCCAAGACGUUCACACCUCGUUUUUCAGCAUAUCUGUAAAUUGUUGAUAAACCAUCUUACGAGGUAAGUCUACAAGCAUAGAUGAAUUAUAUCUACUCGUGAGCACAUCAAUGUCAGGGGAAGAUGGUUGGAACUUCGAAAACUAUUGCUUAAUUUGCGAGGCCCUAAGUGGAAGCCAUUUUGCAUAGUUUUGCUAACCUUCUCUUAGCUCUUGGAAGUCUAGGUAAUAACUGAUGGGAAAUAGAUCCAAUAUGACGAUAAGAGAAACUUACUGUACAAUGUCAAGUGCAUCACUGAUUGUAUAUUUCUCUGAAUAGGAGUAUGCACCAUUUGAUAGUUCUGGGUAUGAAUGUAUUUCAAUAGGAAAUGAUUGCUCAUCCACGAUAUGCCAAUGAAGCACAUUCUGCAUGGUGAAAGAGUAAACAUAACAUAAGAUGCAAAUAAAACUAAAUUAAGGGGGAAUGUAUCAGGUGAAAACCUCUAUUCAGUGAAAACCUGAAAACUUUCAACCCUAACCGCUAAAUCUUAGAUAAAUGGAUGAGAUGAAAGGUAAUAAAAAAAACAUCUGAAAGUUUUCAUCUCAUCCGUUUAUUUGAGAUCUAAUGGAUUGAACUGAAAGUUUUCAAGUUUUCAUUGAAUAAAGGUUUUCACCUGAUACAUCGCGAACUUAAGGAGCAUACAUAUAAGAGACCAAUGAAAAACAGAACUUGUUUGAGGGUGAAAGGUCAAACGUACCAACUUACUGUAGGUCAUUGAAUCAAUUACACUUUUGAUUACUGGGACAGGAAGAUAAUGCCUUGCAGUAUCUGCAGCAUACAGUGCACAAUUUAAUAUCAAGAACUUUCAUCAAAUAGUGCAAAGAUGAUAAGUAACUGUGCCUGUAUGCGUUCCCAAUCUUUACAUGAGACUUAAGGUUAUGAAGCAUAUCAAACUCAAACAUAGGAAGUGUAAACUGUAAAGCAUGUGUAACCAAUCUCAGUAUUGCUUGUAACGAUGGUUGUCAAUAAAAUGAAAUAUAGACUGACAAUUGUUCAGAAAUGGAAAUAGAUGAGCAGAAAUGAUAUGUAAUUCAUAGUUAUGUGUAAUAUCAAGAGGUGAAAAUCAAGACUUAUGAUAUAGCUGGUUAUUAUUGUGUGGUGUUUGUCUAAUUUUACUAUGUACUAAUCUUUCACAGUUGGCCUUAUUAUACUGUUUAUGCCGUAGCAAUUUGGUGGCCAUUCUAUAUAAGUGACCUGUCAUAAUGCCAUGCAUGUUUUAGCCUUACUUAUUUCUCAGGGACAAUAUGUGGGUAAUUUAUAUAAGAACAGAGAAACAAUUUUGAACUAAUGGAAGUGGAGCUAGAUUGACAAUAUAGGUACUUUGUAUAAGAACUUCGAGGAACCCAUUCGUGAGCUUUAUUACUCUGAAUAGUGACGACAAUUACGGUUAUAAAUGAAGAGAAAAUUCAGACUGUAUCUUACCAAUAAGAAGCCCUCGAUAAGGAAAUCUUGGCAUGUCCAUGAUAGUCCAAGGAGCCGAAUCAAGUCGAGUUAUGCUCAAAACAAAAUCAAAGUAACACAAUUGGCUAAUUGUCUGCAACAAUACAAACUUACUGUCACGUUGUCUGGAAAUAUUAUUGUCGCUGAACUUUAUCUAUGGUCCUGCAUAAUAUCACUUGAAGUGGAUAAAUCAUGUGAAGUUACCUCCAAAGCAUGAAGCGCCCCAAAAACUGUUUGUGCCUGCAAAAUGUAGUGAAGUGAAAUCAACUGUGUGUCACAAUGUGUACAACGGAUAAGGUUGCCUACACCGUGCGACAAGGGUGAACACUUAUUGUUGCCAAACCUUGUUCUUCAGACACGUGGUACAAAAAUAAUUUCACUGCUAAUUGUUAUUUUCCAAGUGAGUACGCUGUUGUAUGGACAUGACACGGUAGUUAUUCUUCAAAAAUUCCAUGCCUAAAUCCUUGUUUGUAUAUCAGGGAUGGUGGAGUACUAUGUUAACCAGCAUUCUGUGGAUAGAUCAUCAAGAGGACUUGGUGCAGCCUAUACAGAGUAACUGUGCGGGCAGAACAUCUAAAAGAAGGUAUCACUACAGUACAAUAGCAUCCACGGCAUGCCAUCUGCCAGAUUUACUAUUUCAUUGAACUGGUUGAUUUCUUUAAUGAAAUCGGGUGCUGAGCUCCUUUAUUCUAAAAUAAAAUAAAAUAAAAUUACUAGAUCAUUCCAACAUAGGUGUUGCCAAUACAGCAUAAAAGACAUACAUAAGAGCACUUAAUAUUCUGUUAUGUAUUGAAUAUAACGGUACAUUCUUCUAAUUAAAAUGAAAGGAAAGCAAGUGACUGCUUUGCAAGAUGGGGUUUAGCACAUUGUCAAAUUUUGCAAGGCAAUUUAUAUGUCAACCAUCCGGAUAGUAUAACUAAAUUUGUUUGUGGCACAUCCAGUUUCUUUCUUUGGUUUUCUGUAAAAUAGGAUUUUAUUCUGUUUCGUGCAAGCACAAGCAAAAACAUCUGCAGUCAAGAGUUUACCGACCUCAAUUUGGGCAUACAUCGGGCUGCCAGUUGCAGGAAUUGACAGGUUGUAUGAUUCAUCCACCCCGAAUUUGAGCUGCAGUAAGAUCAAUGAGGAAAACACACAACACACCAAAAAGAAGAAGCGUCAGAAGCAACCCUGCAGCUCAUCAAGCAUACCUCGUCAUCCGGGGAAUGGACAACUACAUUAACACCGGUGAGCACAGGAAGCCUGUCGUAACUGCCAACGAUAGCAUGGUCCAUCUGGAUGACUGACACUAUCCUCUGGAAGGCUUCUACCAGGAUAGUCUUCCCGUCGGCGUACUUGCUCCCGACCGCCGACAUCUUGAGGUCCUUGGCGACGUAGAGUGCCUUGUCCCCACUGCUGACCGACGCCGGCAUUGGCCACAGAUCGACGCGCCCACCGCCAGCAGCGGUG
RNAcentral lists this long non-coding RNA (2953 nucleotides) under Brachypodium distachyon (stiff brome). Its description in RNAcentral is "long non-coding RNA (BDIS_LNC003861)". Lineage: Eukaryota; Viridiplantae; Streptophyta; Magnoliopsida; Poales; Poaceae. The record is from RNAcentral.